GAGGCCUGCCUGCCCAGUGACAAACGUUCAACGGCCGCGGUAUCCUGACCGUGCAAAGGUAGCAUAAUCACUUGUUCCUUAAUUGGGGACUGGAAUGAAUGGCCUCACGAGGAUUCAACUGUCUCUUACCUCUAAUCAGUGAAAUUGACCUCCCCGUGAAGAGGCGGGGAUACAACAACAAGACGAGAAGACCCUAUGGAGCUUUAAUUUUCUGUCUUAACUACUAAAUAACUAACCCUACUGGGAUAAAAAAAGAGAAAUAAGUCAGUAAUUUCGGUUGGGGUGACCUCGGAGAAUAAGACAACCUCCGAAUGAUUUUAACCAAGACAAACAAGUCAAAGUAUUAAAAAUCAAAUUGACCCAAUUCAUUUGAUCAACGGACCAAGUUACCCUAGGGAUAACAGCGCAAUCCUAUUCAAGAGUCCAUAUCGACAAUUAGGGUUUACGACCUCGAUGUUGGAUCAGGACAUCCCAAUGGUGCAGCAGCUAUUAAUGGUUCGUUUGUUCAACGAUUAAAGUCCUACGUGAUCUG
This 532-nucleotide ribosomal RNA is filed under the name Microtus thomasi (Thomas's pine vole). RNAcentral describes it as "partial 16S ribosomal RNA". It matches the Rfam family "Bacterial large subunit ribosomal RNA", at positions 1850 to 2607 of the family's 2925-position model. The record is from RNAcentral. Lineage: Eukaryota; Metazoa; Chordata; Mammalia; Rodentia; Cricetidae.